This 76-nucleotide transfer RNA is filed under the name Verrucomicrobiota bacterium. RNAcentral describes it as "Verrucomicrobia bacterium tRNA-Glu". It matches the Rfam family "tRNA". From Rfam's summary of the family: Transfer RNA (tRNA) molecules are approximately 80 nucleotides in length. Their secondary structure includes four short double-helical elements and three loops (D, anti-codon, and T loops). Lineage: Bacteria; Pseudomonadati; Verrucomicrobiota. The record is from RNAcentral. RNAcentral also lists the same sequence under 2 other names.
GACCCUAUCGUCCAGAGGCCUAGGACAUCGCCCUUUCACGGCGGUAACACGGGUUCGAAUCCCGUUAGGGUCGCCA